Molecule: long non-coding RNA, 233 nt
Filed under: Elaeis guineensis (African oil palm)
Lineage: Eukaryota; Viridiplantae; Streptophyta; Magnoliopsida; Arecales; Arecaceae
Description: long non-coding RNA (EGUI_LNC045951)
Source: RNAcentral
UAUAUGGCUUGAAACAAGAACCUUGUGUAUGGUAUGAAAAAUUAAAUAAAUUUUUGCUUGAUAAUAAAUUUACAUGAAGAAAAAUAAGUACUAACUUAUUUUGAAAGAAAAGAGAUAAUAAUUUGUUAGUAAUUUAAAUCUAUAUAGAUGAUAUUAUAUUUCGUGUUAUUGAUAAAUCUCUUUGUCAAGAGUUUGCUAAGUUAAUACAUAUUGCCCAAAAAGAUAGCAACCCA